GGCCUCUUCCUGCCUCUCACUAGCUUCAUCCCUCAGAAGCUGAAUCUUCUCAGGGAAGGAGCUACUGAAGAGCAGGAAUAGAUUGCACUCUUGGACUCCAACCAAUCUGUCUUCCAUUAUUUGUGUACUCAAAUUCUUCUGUUGUAGUGGCC
Molecule: microRNA precursor, 152 nt
Filed under: Physcomitrium patens
Lineage: Eukaryota; Viridiplantae; Streptophyta; Bryopsida; Funariales; Funariaceae
Description: Physcomitrella patens miR1219c stem-loop (ppt-MIR1219c)
Rfam family: MIR1219 microRNA precursor family (bases 2-83)
Source: miRBase by way of RNAcentral